AAGCGUGCGCAGGCGGUAAUGUAAGACAGAUCGUGAAAUCCCCGGGCUCAACCUGGGAACUGCAUUUGUGACUGCAUUGCUGGAGUGCGGCAGAGGGGGAUGGAAUUCCGCGUGUAGCAGUGAAAUGCGUAGAUAUGCGGAGGAACACCGAUGGCGAAGGCAAUCCCCUGGGCCUGCACUGACGCUCAUGCACGAAAGCGUGGGGAGCAAACAGGAUUAGAUACCCCGGU
Molecule: ribosomal RNA, 230 nt
Filed under: uncultured bacterium
Lineage: Bacteria
Description: partial 16S ribosomal RNA
Rfam family: Bacterial small subunit ribosomal RNA
Source: RNAcentral